Pseudophryne corroboree (corroboree frog) is the source of this 973-nucleotide long non-coding RNA. RefSeq lists it as uncharacterized. The record is from RefSeq and is a predicted model, not a curated record. The transcript has 3 exons. NCBI's taxonomy places the organism in Eukaryota, Metazoa, Chordata, Amphibia, Anura, Myobatrachidae.
ACACUCAGCAGUGUGUAACUAUCAUCAGCCCAGCAGCAGCAGCUCCUCGGCUCUCACUGGGUGUUCCCUCCCACACUGUCCUCAGCCUGUCCCAGUCAGCUGACACAGAGGGUUCCCUUCGGACGGCUCCAGAUCCAAUCCCCUGUAUUUCCGGGCGGUGGGGCCGGUGACACAUACACUGUGCGUGACCAUGGCAACGGUGACGUCAGAGGAAAGGGGGAAGUGCAAUGUGAUGGCCGGAAGAGAGGACCCGGUGUGCGGCGGAGAGGACGGCGUGGAUCUGUACAGAUUGAUAUGCGCUGUAAAAAACUGGGUGUAUAUGGACGUCUCAAAAGCAGGAAGUCAAGACGUGGUCUGCUGUGCGUUCCAUAGCCCGGAAGCACGCGACCACACAGCGGAGGGAGAUAAUCUAAAGAAGACCGUCAUGCGGUCCACGUGCGUUCCAUGGACCGGAAGCACGCGGCCUCGACACAGGAAGUGCACGAGUCAAAGCCGGGAUGCGGUCCGCGGUGCGUUCCACGGACCGGAAGCACGCGGCCGCUCCUGUACCUAUCUAUUAGAGACGGCUUUUUUAAGUAAAUAAUCCACGAGUACCACCAACGAGAUAUUAACAUAAAAUUAUGAGAUCCCCAGUAUUAUUAAAAUUUUGUGUAUCGGAAGUACGGAAAUACGGAGGCUAGGUCCUCCCACUAAAAGUUGAGUUUAGAUAGGUUGUGUUUUAUAGUUAUUAUGCAAAGCUGCUAUGUUUAGACUACACAACAAUUUUGAAUCUGUGGAGGGAAAACUUGAUGUAAGAAUAUAUGUGACCUUGUUGACCCGGAAGUGAUUUACAUACAACAAGGUGACCUUGUUGACCCGAAAGUGAUUUACAUACAACAAGGUGACCUUGUUGACCCAGAAGUGAUUUACAUACAGAGCAUAAAUAGCCCAGACUUAGCAUAGCUCCUGUCAUACAGCCUUGAUGAGGGUUCAC